This 484-nucleotide ribosomal RNA is filed under the name uncultured bacterium. RNAcentral describes it as "partial 16S ribosomal RNA". It matches the Rfam family "Bacterial small subunit ribosomal RNA", at positions 30 to 507 of the family's 1533-position model. The record is from RNAcentral.
AUUGAACGCUGGCGGCAGGCCUAACACAUGCAAGUCGAGCGGAUGAAGGGAGCUUGCUCCUGGAUUCAGCGGCGGACGGGUGAGUAAUGCCUAGGAAUCUGCCUGGUAGUGGGGGAUAACGUCCGGAAACGGGCGCUAAUACCGCAUACGUCCUGAGGGAGAAAGUGGGGGAUCUUCGGACCUCACGCUAUCAGAUGAGCCUAGGUCGGAUUAGCUAGUUGGUGGGGUAAAGGCCUACCAAGGCGACGAUCCGUAACCGGUCUAAGAGGAUGAUCAGUCACACUGGAACUGAGACACGGUCCAGACUCCUACGGGAGGCAGCAGUGGGGAAUAUUGGACAAUGGGCGAAAGCCUGAUCCAGCCAUGCCGCGUGUGUGAAGAAGGUCUUCGGAUUGUAAAGCACUUUAAGUUGGGAGGAAGGGCAGUAAGUUAAUACCUUGCUGUUUUGACGUUACCAACAGAAUAAGCACCGGCUAACUUCGUG